GUCUAUACAGACCCUCUGCACCGAGAUAUUUCUCGACACCGACGCGCUGCCAUCUGUCGCCCGCCUUAGCCUCAAUAAAAGCGCCGGGCGAGCGGCGCUGCAACUAGCAGGCGGGAAGAGGCGGCGAUGCGAAGGGAGCGAGUGGGACGGCCGAUGUGGAGGAGGAGGAGGGAGACAAAGAGAAAAGGAAUGGAUCAAAUACUACAAUUGUGAUUCCAAUGAGGCUCCUGCCAACCACCCCUUUUUGCAGGGAACAGCACUGUUGUUCUAUGAACAAAGCCAACAGUCAGUACACCAUAAAUAUGUGGAUAGCUCCCAAGGAUAGUGACCUUCAGGCAUCCCAUGAAGCCGUUCCAGCACUGGCACAGAAGCAAAGCUAAUCUUCAGAGUGGCCCAAGACAGUUUACAAUCGCUUUGGUGUUGGAAUCAUGAGCACAUGAAAGUAGGUUUGUAAACUGCUGGUGGUUUCAAACAAGAAAGCUCCGUGAUUGGGCCCAAAGAGCUUCAUAGACUUCUUUCAAUCAUUAAAAUAACCUGUUCCUGCGUAUCAGAAGAUUCUCCAGAGUGGCCAAAGCACUAAGUGAUACUCAGCCAGAACAGGGAACCAGCAGAAUUGAAAGCGCUCUUUGUAUCUCAUGCUAUUUUUAAAAACAAGGAAAAUGCCAAC
Long non-coding RNA from Rhineura floridana, 667 nucleotides. RefSeq lists it as uncharacterized. Lineage: Eukaryota; Metazoa; Chordata; Lepidosauria; Squamata; Rhineuridae. The transcript has 3 exons. The record is from RefSeq and is a predicted model, not a curated record.